AUUGAACGCUGGCGGCAUGCCUUACACAUGCAAGUCGAACGGCAGCACGGGAGCAAUCCUGGUGGCGAGUGGCGAACGGGUGAGUAAUAUAUCGGAACGUGCCCAGUCGUGGGGGAUAACGCAGCGAAAGCUGUGCUAAUACCGCAUACGAUCUACGGAUGAAAGCGGGGGAUCGCAAGACCUCGCGCGAUUGGAGCGGCCGAUAUCAGAUUAGCUAGUUGGUGGGGUAAAGGCCUACCAAGGAGACGAUCUGUAGCUGGUCUGAGAGGACGACCAGCCACACUGGAACUGAGACACGGUCCAGACUCCUACGGGAGGCAGCAGUGGGGAAUUUUGGACAAUGGGCGCAAGCCUGAUCCAGCAAUGCCGCGUGCAGGAUGAAGGCCUUCGGGUUGUAAACUGCUUUUGUACGGAACGAAACGGCGAGCUCUAAUACAGUUUGCUAAUGACGGUACCGUAAGAAUAAGCACCGGCUAACUACGUGCCAGCAGCCGCCGUAA
Molecule: ribosomal RNA, 500 nt
Filed under: uncultured bacterium
Lineage: Bacteria
Description: partial 16S ribosomal RNA
Rfam family: Bacterial small subunit ribosomal RNA
Source: RNAcentral